UAGCUCAGAUGGUAAAGAAUCUGCUUGCAAUGCAGAAGACCUAGGUUCAAUCCCUGG
RNAcentral lists this transfer RNA (57 nucleotides) under Ovis aries (sheep). It matches the Rfam family "tRNA", at positions 8 to 63 of the family's 71-position model. Rfam says of the family: Transfer RNA (tRNA) molecules are approximately 80 nucleotides in length. Their secondary structure includes four short double-helical elements and three loops (D, anti-codon, and T loops). The record is from Rfam by way of RNAcentral. Lineage: Eukaryota; Metazoa; Chordata; Mammalia; Artiodactyla; Bovidae.